Molecule: non-coding RNA, 23 nt
Filed under: Arabidopsis thaliana (thale cress)
Lineage: Eukaryota; Viridiplantae; Streptophyta; Magnoliopsida; Brassicales; Brassicaceae
Source: RNAcentral
UUUUGUUCGGUGGUCGUGUGUUU